CAGCAGCCGCGGUAAUACGGAGGAUCCAAGCGUUAUCCGGAAUCAUUGGGUUUAAAGGGUCCGUAGGCGGUCUUGUAAGUCAGUGGUGAAAGCCCAUCGCUCAACGGUGGAACGGCCAUUGAUACUGCAGGACUUGAAUUAUUGGGAAGUAACUAGAAUAUGUAGUGUAGCGGUGAAAUGCUUAGAGAUUACAUGGAAUACCAAUUGCGAAGGCAGGUUACUACCAAUUGAUUGACGCUGAUGGACGAAAGCGUGGGUAGCGAACAGGAUUAGAUACCCCUGUAGUCCCUGUCUCUUAUAA
This 301-nucleotide ribosomal RNA is filed under the name uncultured bacterium. RNAcentral describes it as "partial 16S ribosomal RNA". It matches the Rfam family "Bacterial small subunit ribosomal RNA", at positions 509 to 809 of the family's 1533-position model. The record is from RNAcentral.